This 238-nucleotide ribosomal RNA is filed under the name uncultured bacterium. RNAcentral's name for it is "partial 16S ribosomal RNA". It matches the Rfam family "Bacterial small subunit ribosomal RNA", at positions 118 to 347 of the family's 1533-position model. The record is from RNAcentral.
UGAGGAACAUGACCUUCGGCGGGGGAUAGCCGGCCCAACGGCCGGGUAAUACCGCGUACGACCACAUGGGGACAUCCCUGAGUGGUGAAAGCAGCAAUGCGCCGAUGGAGUGCCUCGCGGCCUAUCAGCUAGUUGGUGAGGUAACGGCUCACCAAGGCGACGACGGGUAGCUGGUCUGAUAGGAUGGCCAGCCACAUUGGGACUGAGACACCGGCCCAGACCUUCGUAACCGGGGAGG